CGAACAGCGAUAUGUCUCGCCAAAAGGAGUACGUCAGUCCAGCGGGUCUUCGCCUGGAUGGCCGUCGCCCGCUGGAGGCACGGCGCAUGGACAUCGCAUUCAGCACGCUUUCCGCGUGUGACGGCAGUUGCGACAUCACGCUUGGGCAGUCAAAAGUGUGCGCAUGCGUCUUUGGGCCGCGAGAGUCGCUCCACAAGCAGGAGGCAAAGCACGAUAAGGGGCUCGUCACGUGCGAAGUGGCGGUCGCCGCUUUUGCUGGAGAAAACCGUCGCAAUCCGCAGAGGCGUAGCAAGCUCUCGGAGGACAUCGGCGCCGCUGUGGUGCAAGUGGCCCGCUCCGUCAUUCUCCUCUCCCAGUAUCCAAACUCGCAGAUUCACAUUUACAUCGAGGUCCUUCAGAAGGACGGGAACGAGAAAAUCGCGUGCGUCAACGCGGCGUGCCUCGCCCUGAUCGAUGCAAACGUUGCCAUGCGGGACGCGGUGUGCUGCAUCGAUGCAGGCAUUCUGGAUGAGCACAUGCUGAUAGAUUUGACAAACGACGAGUUGCGCUCUCAGUGUCCAGUGAUUGCGGCGGCAUUCACGGGACACGACACGCGGAACAUCAUUUGGCUGGAGACGGCGUCGCGGCUACCUCCAGACUCGGCGGCGCGGCUGCUCAAGUGCGCGGAGGAGGGUGCCACGAAGCUCUUUGAGACAGCAAUGCGAAAGGCGCUGGAGGAACAUGCAAAGAAGAUCUUGACGCUAAAAAGCUAGUUGCACCCGUGUUGUGCUUGGGACGGCAUCCCUGUGCUGCUGCUGCUGCUGCUUUCGGAAAAUCAACGGAGCAGCAGCUCAUUAAGUGUUUGAGGUAUCACCUAGGUUUUGGUUGGCCGCCUCAUCCACAGCACCUCCUAUUGCCCUCCCUCCCCCCUCCCCCCGCUUCCUCGCUUUUUGUCGUCGUGCAUCCAGCAGUUUUUUCUAGCACUAACCCUUCGAGUAACGCAUCGCUCCCUCCUUCCUUGCGAUUCCUUGGCAACUGCCCGCAAGAAGAAGCGAAGCGCAGAACAAC
Molecule: unclassified non-coding RNA, 1047 nt
Filed under: Leishmania donovani
Lineage: Eukaryota; Euglenozoa; Kinetoplastea; Trypanosomatida; Trypanosomatidae
Description: gene:LdHU3.36.4370(CDS-product:exosome_complex_ex onuclease_RRP41A)
Source: RNAcentral